UGUGUGUGUGUGUGUGUGUGUGUGUGUAUAUAUAUAUAUAUAUACACACACACACACACAUAUAUAUAUAUAUAUACACACACACACACACACACACACACA
This 102-nucleotide microRNA precursor is filed under the name Podarcis lilfordi (Lilford's wall lizard). Lineage: Eukaryota; Metazoa; Chordata; Lepidosauria; Squamata; Lacertidae. The record is from RNAcentral.